AGUGAACGCUGGCGGUAGGCCUAACACAUGCAAGUCGAACGGCAGCACAGUAAGAGCUUGCUCUUACGGGUGGCGAGUGGCGGACGGGUGAGGAAUACAUCGGAAUCUACUUUUUCGUGGGGGAUAACGUAGGGAAACUUACGCUACUACCGCAUACUACCUACGGGUGAAAGCAGGGGAUCUUCGGACCUUGCGCGAUUGAAUGAGCCGAUGUCGGAUUAGCUAGUUGGCGGGGUAAAGGCCCACCAAGGCGACGAUCCGUAGCUGGUCUGAGAGGAUGAUCAGCCACACUGGAACUGAGACACGGUCCAGACUCCUACGGGAGGCAGCAGUGGGGAAUAUUGGACAAUGGGCGCAAGCCUGAUCCAGCCAUACCGCGUGGGUGAAGAAGGCCUUCGGGUUGUAAAGCCCUUUUGUUGGGAAAGAAAAGCAGCAGGUUAAUACCCCGCUGUUCUGACGGUACCCAAAGAAUAAGCACCGGCUAACUUCGUG
This 492-nucleotide ribosomal RNA is filed under the name uncultured bacterium. RNAcentral describes it as "partial 16S ribosomal RNA". It matches the Rfam family "Bacterial small subunit ribosomal RNA", at positions 29 to 507 of the family's 1533-position model. The record is from RNAcentral.